CUUCAGCGACCCGAGGUGGAGCGGCUGCUCCCGGUCCUGGCCGUAGGUGGCGAGGAUCGCGUGCGCCUC
RNAcentral lists this antisense RNA (69 nucleotides) under Allokutzneria albata. Its description in RNAcentral is "Kibdelosporangium albatum ASpks TB sRNA". It matches the Rfam family "ASpks TB sRNA". Lineage: Bacteria; Bacillati; Actinomycetota; Actinomycetes; Pseudonocardiales; Pseudonocardiaceae. The record is from Rfam by way of RNAcentral.